Molecule: ribosomal RNA, 267 nt
Filed under: uncultured bacterium
Lineage: Bacteria
Description: partial 16S ribosomal RNA
Rfam family: Bacterial small subunit ribosomal RNA
Source: RNAcentral
ACUCCUACGGGAGGCAGCAGUGGGAAUAUUGGACAAUGGGGGACCGUGCAUCAGCCAUGCCGCGUGUGUGAAGAAGGCCUUAUGGUUGUAAAGCACUUUAAGCGAGGAGGAGGCUACUGAGACUAAUACUCUUGGAUAGUGGACGUUACUCGCAGAAUAAGCACCGGCUAACUCUGUGCCAGCAGCCGCGGUAAUACAGAGGGUGCGAGCGUUAAUCGGAUUUACUGGGCGUAAAGCGUGCGUAGGCGGCCAUUUAAGUCAAAUGUG